Long non-coding RNA from Lethenteron reissneri (Far Eastern brook lamprey), 1237 nucleotides. RefSeq lists it as uncharacterized. The record is from RefSeq and is a predicted model, not a curated record. Lineage: Eukaryota; Metazoa; Chordata; Hyperoartia; Petromyzontiformes; Petromyzontidae.
GCCCCCCUCACACGUUGGCGCUGGAGGUCUCGCUCAGACGUUCCAGCAACGUCCAAGCGACGUUCGUCGCUCGCGUUACGCGAUUCACAAAUUACACUACUUCAGCUAGUUAGUACACUACUAGCUAGUUACACUACAUUAGUUAGUUAGUACACUGGCUAGUUAUACUAGUUAGUUAUACUACUAGUUAGUUAGUACACUAGUACACUAGUUAGUACAUUAGUUAGUUAGUACACUACAUUAGUACACUAGCUAGUUACACUACAUUAGUACACUAGCUAGUUACACUACAUUAGUACACUAGUUAGUUAGACUGCUAGUUAGUUAGACUAGUUAGUGAGAAUCAUUCUGCUACAGCAACAAGAGUUGUCCGCAUCCGUAGAGUUCGCUGCAUCAUCAUCAUCACCAUGUUGCGGCCCGUCAGGAUGUUUGUGCUGGAGGACCGUCACGUGAUCGCCCGCCAUGCCAGCGUCUACCCGACUCUGGCGGAGUUAGAGGCGGCUCAGUCGCUGGUGUCCACCUGUGAGAGAGCGCUCAAGCGCCUCGCAGACUCGCUGCACAGUGAUGCUGGUGCAGCAGCAGCAGCACCACCACCAGCAGCAGCAGCAGCAGGAGUAGCAGCAGCAGCAGCAGCAGGAGUAGCAGGAGGAGCAGUGGGUGGUGGUGGUGGUGGUGGUGGUGUUGGUGGUGGUGGUGUGGGUGGUGGUGGUGUGGGUGGUGGUGGUGUUGGUGGUGGUGUUGGUGGUGGUGGUGGUGGUGUGGGUGGUGGUGUUGUUGGUGGUGUUGGUGGUGUAGUGGGUGGUGUAGGUGGUGGUGGUGGUGGUGUUGGUGGUGGUGUGGGUGGUGGUGUGGGUGGUGGUGUUGGUGGUGGUGUAGGUGGUGGUGGUGGUGGUGUUGGUGGUGGUGGUGGUGGUGUUGGUGGUGGUGUGGGUGGUGGUGUUGUUGGUGGUGUUGGUGGUGGUGUAGGUGGUGGUGGUGGUGGUGUUGGUGGUGUUGGUGGUGUUGGUGGUGUUGGUGGUGGUGGUGUUGGUGGUGGUGGUGUUGGUGGUGGUGGUGGUGGCUCCCUGCGUAGCGUGGUGCGAGUGGGACUGGUGGCUAAGGGUCUUCUCCUGCGCGGAGACCAGCGCCUUCGCCUCGUGCUGCUGUGCCACCAGCCGCCCACUGUGCAGCUGCUGCACCACGCUGCACACAGCCUGCCUCAACACCUACAGGCGGUGAGUGGUGAGGGUGGUGAGUG